This 448-nucleotide ribosomal RNA is filed under the name uncultured Rhodobacter sp. Its description in RNAcentral is "bacterial SSU rRNA". It matches the Rfam family "Bacterial small subunit ribosomal RNA", at positions 8 to 503 of the family's 1533-position model. Lineage: Bacteria; Pseudomonadati; Pseudomonadota; Alphaproteobacteria; Rhodobacterales. The record is from RNAcentral.
AGAGUUUGAUCAUGGCUCAGAACGAACGCUGGCGGCAGGCCUAACACAUGCAAGUCGAACGGGUCCUUCGGGACUAGUGGCGGACGGGUGAGUAACGCGUGGGAAUAUGCCCUUCAGUUCGGAAUAGCCUCGGGAAACUGGGAGUAAUACCGGAUACGGUCUACGGACGAAAGAUUUAUCGCCGAAGGAUUAGCCCGCGUUGGAUUAGGUAGUUGGUGGGGUAAUGGCCUACCAAGCCGACGAUCCAUAGCUGGUUUGAGAGGAUGAUCAGCCACACUGGGACUGAGACACGGCCCAGACUCCUACGGGAGGCAGCAGUGGGGAAUCUUAGACAAUGGGGGAAACCCUGAUCUAGCCAUGCCGCGUGAGCGAUGAAGGCCUUAGGGUUGUAAAGCUCUUUCAGUGGGGAAGAUAAUGACGGUACCCGCAGAAGAGCCCCGGAUUGCUC